GAAAUUGCCGAUGCAAAAGAGACAUUCACUGUACAUUAUUCACACAUCUCAACUUCGUUCCAUUUGUUUCUCAUUUGAAACCUUCACAACUCUUAUUGCACAACUCAAUUUUUGUUUUUCACUAUUUUUCUUCCAAGCAAGCAUUCAUCUUUAUUUUCUCUAUAUUAUAUUUUUUUCUCUUUUCUUUCACAUCAUAUUUACAAAACAGAUGUUUUUCUUUUCUAAUUUUUAUUUUCAAUGCUUGCUCGGUUUUUCAAGAGUUGUGGCACUUACAGAUUCUCAUUUUCGUUCUCCCCAACUUAUUUCUUACUCACCCUAAGUGAAUGCUCUUAACUUUUUACGGCAAAAGAACAAUAAUCAAGAUUUUCCGGGUUGUAAAAAAAAAGAUUUUUGAAAUCUCGCUUUAUUUCAAGCUGAGAUUCAACUGUUUAAGCUCAAAGGGGUUAACGAAUACUCUCUCUGCUCACAGGUAAGUUG
This 477-nucleotide long non-coding RNA is filed under the name Lathyrus oleraceus (garden pea). Its description in RNAcentral is "Pisum sativum (pea) long non-coding RNA (PSAT_LNC023188)". The record is from RNAcentral. Lineage: Eukaryota; Viridiplantae; Streptophyta; Magnoliopsida; Fabales; Fabaceae.